AGCGAACGCUGGCGGCAGGCUUAACACAUGCAAGUCGAGCGGGCGUAGCAAUACGUCAGCGGCAGACGGGUGAGUAACGCGUGGGAACGUACCUUUUGGUUCGGAACAACACAGGGAAACUUGUGCUAAUACCGGAUAAGCCCUUACGGGGAAAGAUUUAUCGCCGAAAGAUCGGCCCGCGUCUGAUUAGCUAGUUGGUGAGGUAACGGCUCACCAAGGCGACGAUCAGUAGCUGGUCUGAGAGGAUGAUCAGCCACAUUGGGACUGAGACACGGCCCAAACUCCUACGGGAGGCAGCAGUGGGGAAUAUUGGACAAUGGGCGCAAGCCUGAUCCAGCCAUGCCGCGUGAGUGAUGAAGGCCCUAGGGUUGUAAAGCUCUUUUGUGCGGGAAGAUAAUGACGGUACCGCAAGAAUAAGCCCCGGCUAACUUCGUGCCAGCAGCCGCGGUAAUACGAAGGGGGCUAGCGUUGCUCGGAAUCACUGGGCGUAAAGGGUGCGUAGGCGGGUCUUUAAGUCAGGGGUGAAAUCCUGGAGCUCAACUCCAGAACUGCCUUUGAUACUGAGGAUCUUGAGUUCGGGAGAGGUGAGUGGAACUGCGAGUGUAGAGGUGGAAUUCGUAGAUAUUCGCAAGAACACCAGUGGCGAAGGCGGCUCACUGGCCCGGAACUGACGCUGAGACGCGAAAGCGUGGGGAGCAAACAGGAUUAGAUACCCUGGUAGUCCACGCUGUAAACGAUGGAUGCUCCGUUGGGGAGCUUGCUCUUCAGUGGCGCAGCUAACGCUUUAAGCAUCCCGCCUGGGGAGUACGGUCGCAAGAUUAAA
This 823-nucleotide ribosomal RNA is filed under the name uncultured bacterium. RNAcentral's name for it is "bacterial SSU rRNA". It matches the Rfam family "Bacterial small subunit ribosomal RNA", at positions 28 to 898 of the family's 1533-position model. The record is from RNAcentral.